This 1084-nucleotide ribosomal RNA is filed under the name Clostridioides difficile. RNAcentral's name for it is "bacterial LSU rRNA". It matches the Rfam family "Bacterial large subunit ribosomal RNA", at positions 1077 to 2178 of the family's 2925-position model. Lineage: Bacteria; Bacillati; Bacillota; Clostridia; Peptostreptococcales; Peptostreptococcaceae. The record is from RNAcentral.
GGGAUUGCACAGACAACCAGGAUGUUGGCUUAGAAGCAGCCACUCAUUCAAAGAGUGCGUAAUAGCUCACUGGUCGAGUGAUCCUGCGCCGAAGAUUUCCGGGGCUAAAACUUACUACCGAAGCUACGGCAUCAGUAAUGAUGGGUAGGGGAGCUUCCCAUACGGGUUGAAGCAUGACCGUAAGGACAUGUGGACAGUAUGGGAGUGAGAAUGUUGGCAUGAGUAGCGAGAUGUGGGUGAGAAUCCCACAGGCCGUAAACCCAAGGUUUCCAGGGGAAGGUUCGUCCGCCCUGGGUUAGUCGGGACCUAAGCUGAGGCCGAAAGGCGUAGGUGAUGGACAACAGGUUGAUAUUCCUGUACUACCGAUAACCGUUUGAGAGAAGGGAUGACACAGUAGGAUAAGCUAAGCACACUGUUGGUUAUGUGUGCCCAAGCAUUGAGGCAGUCAAAGUAGGCAAAUCCGCUUUGAUAAUGCUGGGAUGUGAUGGGGAGCGAAAUUUAGUAGCGAAGUAGCUGAUUUCACACUGUCAAGAAAAGUCUCUAUCGAGGUUAAAGGUACCCGUACCGCAAACCGACACAGGUGGGUGAGGAGAGUAUCCUAAGGCCAGCGAGAGAACUGUUGUUAAGGAACUCGGCAAAAUGACCCCGUAACUUAGGGAUAAGGGGUGCCACCAUCAGGUGGCCGCAGAGAAUAGGCCCAAGCGACUGUUUACCAAAAACAUAGGUUUCUGCUAAGUCGCAAGACGAUGUAUAGGAGCUGACGCCUGCCCGGUGCUGGAAGGUUAAGGGGAUCUGUUAGAGCAAUCGAAGCAGUGAACUUAAGCCCCAGUAAACGGCGGCCGUAACUAUAACGGUCCUAAGGUAGCGAAAUUCCUUGUCGGGUAAGUUCCGACCCGCACGAAAGGCGUAACGAUUUGGGCACUGUCUCAACAACAGACUCGGUGAAAUUGUAAUUCCGGUGAAGAUGCCGGAUACCUGCGACAGGACGGAAAGACCCCAUGGAGCUUUACUGUAGCUUGACAUUGGGUUUUGGUACUACAUGUACAGGAUAGGUGGGAGGCUUUGAAACCAGGACGCCAGUUUU